UAGCUCAGUGGUAGAGCGCUUGCCUAGCAAGCACAAGGCCCUGGGUUCGGUUCCCAG
This is a non-coding RNA of Rattus norvegicus (Norway rat), 57 nucleotides long. NCBI's taxonomy places the organism in Eukaryota, Metazoa, Chordata, Mammalia, Rodentia, Muridae. The record is from Rfam.